This 85-nucleotide transfer RNA is filed under the name Bacillota bacterium. RNAcentral describes it as "tRNA-Tyr". It matches the Rfam family "tRNA". Rfam says of the family: Transfer RNA (tRNA) molecules are approximately 80 nucleotides in length. Their secondary structure includes four short double-helical elements and three loops (D, anti-codon, and T loops). RNAcentral also lists the same sequence under 1 other name. The record is from RNAcentral. Lineage: Bacteria; Bacillati; Bacillota.
GGAGGGGUUCCCGAGUGGCCAAAGGGAGCAGACUGUAAAUCUGCCGGCGCUGCCUUCGCAGGUUCAAAUCCUGCCCCCUCCACCA